AGUGAACGCUGGCGGUAGGCCUAACACAUGCAAGUCGAACGGCAGCACAGGAGAGCUUGCUCUCUGGGUGGCGAGUGGCGGACGGGUGAGGAAUACAUCGGAAUCUACUCUGUCGUGGGGGAUAACGUAGGGAAACUUACGCUAAUACCGCAUACGACCUACGGGUGAAAGCAGGGGACCUUCGGGCCUUGCGCGAUUGAAUGAGCCGAUGUCGGAUUAGCUAGUUGGCGAGGUAAAGGCCCACCAAGGCGACGAUCCGUAGCUGGUCUGAGAGGAUGAUCAGCCAAACUGGAACUGAGACACGGUCCAGACUCCUACGGGAGGCAGCAGUGGGGAAUAUUGGACAAGGGGCGCAAGCCUGAUCCAGCCAUACCGCGUGGGUGAAGAAGGCCUUCGGGUUGUAAAGCCCUUUUGUUGGGAAAGAAAUCCAGCUGGCGAAUACCCGGUUGGGAUGACGGUACCCAAAGAAUAAGCACCGGCUAACUUCGUGCCAGCCGCCGCCGUAA
RNAcentral lists this ribosomal RNA (506 nucleotides) under uncultured bacterium. Its description in RNAcentral is "partial 16S ribosomal RNA". It matches the Rfam family "Bacterial small subunit ribosomal RNA", at positions 29 to 523 of the family's 1533-position model. The record is from RNAcentral.